Molecule: ribosomal RNA, 2194 nt
Filed under: Listeria monocytogenes
Lineage: Bacteria; Bacillati; Bacillota; Bacilli; Caryophanales; Listeriaceae
Description: partial 23S ribosomal RNA
Rfam family: Bacterial large subunit ribosomal RNA
Source: RNAcentral
GUCCAGGAUGAAGGUAAGGUAAUACUUACUGGAGGUCCGAACCCACGCACGUUGAAAAGUGCGGGGAUGAGGUGUGGGUAGCGGAGAAAUUCCAAUCGAACUUGGAGAUAGCUGGUUCUCUCCGAAAUAGCUUUAGGGCUAGCCUCGAGGUAAAGAGUCAUGGAGGUAGAGCACUGUUUGGACUAGGGGCCCUUCUCGGGUUACCGAAUUCAGAUAAACUCCGAAUGCCAUGUACUUAUACUCGGGAGUCAGACUGCGAGUGAUAAGAUCCGUAGUCGAAAGGGAAACAGCCCAGACCACCAGUUAAGGUCCCCAAAUAUAUGUUAAGUGGAAAAGGAUGUGGGGUUGCUUAGACAACCAGGAUGUUGGCUUAGAAGCAGCCACCAUUGAAAGAGUGCGUAAUAGCUCACUGGUCGAGUGACCCCGCGCCGAAAAUGUACCGGGGCUAAACAUAUUACCGAAACUGUGGAUGAACCUCUUUAGAGGUUCGUGGUAGGAGAGCGUUCUAAGGGCGGUGAAGUCAGACCGGAAGGACUGGUGGAGCGCUUAGAAGUGAGAAUGCCGGUAUGAGUAGCGAAAGAAGGGUGAGAAUCCCUUCCACCGAAUAUCUAAGGUUUCCUGAGGAAGGCUCGUCCGCUCAGGGUUAGUCGGGACCUAAGCCGAGGCCGAUAGGCGUAGGCGAUGGACAACAGGUAGAGAUUCCUGUACCAGUGCUAAUUGUUUAACCGAUGGGGUGACACAGAAGGAUAGGGAAUCGCACGAAUGGAAAUGUGCGUCCAAGCAGUGAGUGUGAGAAGUAGGCAAAUCCGCUUCUCGCGAAGCAUGAGCUGUGAUGGGGAAGGAAAUUAAGUACGGAAGUUCCUGAUUUCACGCUGUCAAGAAAAGCCUCUAGGAAGAGUAGUACUGCCCGUACCGCAAACCGACACAGGUAGAUGAGGAGAGAAUCCUAAGGUGAGCGAGAGAACUCUCGUUAAGGAACUCGGCAAAAUGACCCCGUAACUUCGGGAGAAGGGGUGCUCUAUUAGGGUGCAAGCCCGAGAGAGCCGCAGUGAAUAGGCCCAGGCGACUGUUUAGCAAAAACACAGGUCUCUGCAAAACCGUAAGGUGACGUAUAGGGGCUGACGCCUGCCCGGUGCUGGAAGGUUAAGAGGAGUGCUUAGCUUCGGCGAAGGUACGAAUUGAAGCCCCAGUAAACGGCGGCCGUAACUAUAACGGUCCUAAGGUAGCGAAAUUCCUUGUCGGGUAAGUUCCGACCCGCACGAAAGGCGCAACGAUCUGGGCACUGUCUCAACGAGAGACUCGGUGAAAUUAUAGUACCUGUGAAGAUGCAGGUUACCCGCGACAGGACGGAAAGACCCCGUGGAGCUUUACUGCAACCUGAUAUGGAAUGUUUGUACCGCUUGUACAGGAUAGGUAGGAGCCGAAGAGACGUGUGCGCUAGCAUACGAGGAGGCAAUGGUGGGAUACUACCCUGGCUGUAUGACCAUUCUAACCCGCCACGCUUAGCGCGUGGGGAGACAGUGUCAGGUGGGCAGUUUGACUGGGGCGGUCGCCUCCUAAAGAGUAACGGAGGCGCCCAAAGGUUCCCUCAGAAUGGAUGGAAAUCAUUCGCAGAGUGUAAAGGCACAAGGGAGCUUGACUGCGAGACUGACAAGUCGAGCAGGGACGAAAGUCGGGCUUAGUGAUCCGGUGGUUCCGCAUGGAAGGGCCAUCGCUCAACGGAUAAAAGCUACCCCGGGGAUAACAGGCUUAUCUCCCCCAAGAGUCCACAUCGACGGGGAGGUUUGGCACCUCGAUGUCGGCUCGUCGCAUCCUGGGGCUGUAGUCGGUCCCAAGGGUUGGGCUGUUCGCCCAUUAAAGCGGCACGCGAGCUGGGUUCAGAACGUCGUGAGACAGUUCGGUCCCUAUCCGUCGCGGGCGCAGGAAAUUUGAGAGGAGCUGUCCUUAGUACGAGAGGACCGGGAUGGACACACCGCUGGUGUACCAGUUGUUCCGCCAGGAGCAUCGCUGGGUAGCUAUGUGUGGCAGGGAUAAACGCUGAAAGCAUCUAAGCGUGAAGCCCCCCUCAAGAUGAGAUUUCCCAUUUCUUCGGAAAGUAAGAUCCCUGAAAGAUGAUCAGGUAGAUAGGUUUGGAGUGGAAGUGUAGCGAUACAUGGAGCGGACAAAUACUAAUCGAUCGAGGACUUAACCAAAA